GGGACUCUGGGGCCCGUCACGGCACAGGCACCACACGCAUGGUAUUGGUGAAGCCGGAGCCAGGGCGCCACCCGGUCAGCACAAUGACCACAUCUCCCUUCUUGAAGAAGCCUCGGGCCUUGCCUGAAAGAAGAGAAGAAAGGUCGGUGAGAAAAAGCAAGCCAGGCAGGAGAGCACCUGUCUGACCCGCCCGCCGAGGUAGCCAGACUGGGUGACCCUUACUGCCUCCCACCACAAGGUGGCGCAAGCCGCCCAGCCCAGGGACCAGGGAGGCCCCGACUCUUCCUCAUCAAUUGAAAUGGCAGCUGCCGGGGACCUUUGGACAUCAUUUUAUACUCUAGAGGGUGGAGUAGUCCCUCUCAUGCACGGACAUCCUACUUUUAUUAGGGACAAAGGCCAUGAGUACGUGAUCUGUGUGUAGGACACCCCAUGAUGUAACGCUCUAAUCUUUUCUUAACCCUCAACAAGGAGCAGAUGCCCAAGAAGGGACAUUCCUGACUAUCCAGGAUCCUUUGCUUUGGGCCCCGGAUGGGAAGACAGAGAAGUGGGCAGCUCAGCCCCAGAACUCCAAGGCUCCUCCUCCCUCCUGGGCUUAGCCCAGAACUUCAGGGAAUGGGAAGGAGGAGUCAGAGAACGUUCCCUGGGAAGACAGCUAGGACUCUUGCACACUCCAAGGUCAGCAUGUUCCCCUUUCUCUAGGAUCCCAGGGAGAUCAGUGCCCAAGCACCGUCCCCACCCCUCCAGGCAGGUGCUAGCCCUUGCUCCCAGCCACGCACCAACAUUCAUGGCCAAGUUCACCCGGAGGUCCACGUCCUCAGCCCAGGCCUCCUGCACUGGGUCCUUACACACCACAGGGAAGAUGCCGCGGUACAGGUGGGCCUGGCGAGCAGUCUGGUGGUUCCGGGUCACAGCGAUGAUGGGGGCGCGGGGGCGGUAUCUAGCCACCUGGUGAGCGGACCUGCGACAGGAUGACGGCCAAGCAGAAGAGACCAUUAAACAGUGUUCCAGAGCCUCCCAGAGCCCCCCACAGGGCCUUCAGCAACAACUCAGCCUCUAAUCCAACUCAUUCUGCCAGCAUCAGACUCUGGCCACUUUAGCAUCUGCUCCCCGUGCCAGGGCUGCCCCUCGUCCUCCACCUUCCGAGGAACAGAAUCCGACUCUUCUUCCUAUGCUAUCUGUCCACUUGGCUUUUUACCCCCCUCCCCACAGCCCAGGGCCCCAGGAUCACACCGACCCGGCGCGGUCAGUCUCACCCACUCACCCCACACGACUCAGUUGGCAGAAGCCCCUCCUCUGAACUUUCCCAUCCUGGCACAGAUACAGCCCUGCCCAACCUCACCAGCACCCAUUCCUCCUGCUGCCAGCAGCAGCUACAAGCCAAGCAGCAUGUGAAUAGCACCUGACUCUUGGCAUCUGCAAAGAACAGCAGCAGAGCUCACCAGCCCCCCAGGGAACCUACAAAGCCAGCCCUCUACUGCUGUGCCCUCUCCCCCAGCCUACAUGGCCCCCAAGUCCCUAAAACAGUCCUAGCAACCCAGCUCUAGAGCCAAACCUGGGUAUUACCCAGGAGGCUAGACCAGGAGAUGGGAAGGUUAAUGUGGGAGGCUCUGUCUGUGCAGAGUCCCCUGGAGGGUAGAGGGCCCCUCUGGGCCCCAGUGCCACAUGCUUCCUUGAACAUUGUACACUUGUGGCUGUAGACCGGUCUCAGGAGCUGGGGAGGGGCUUGCUUGCAGGAGGCACUGGGCGUCGGAAGGCAAGCCCUAAGGACACCGACAGGUGUCAGGGAAACUUAAGCCAUGUCACAGCAGAGGCUGCCCUGCUAAAGGCCUGGCCCCCAUACAAGGCUUCAGAGGGAAGCAAGUGCUGAAGUCGGGACUGGUUAGAGUGAAAUCCCAGAAGACUGGAGCUAAAAAUAGCCAAAGAGCAAAGGCUGGACCUUUCCACAAAGGUCAACCCUGAUGGUUGGAGCUGUUUAUCCGGAGCCCUCUGCUGAGGAAUUCCUGUGGCCCUGCAGGCAGGGAUGAGGAGCACACUCCCAGACUGGGGCAAUGACAGAGGCUGACUCCAUGUCCAGAUGAGGAGGAGAUCCCAAGCCAAGGCCAAUCAGCAGCCUCAGCUCGGCGGCCCGACACUAGGGUGCCAGCAAGAUGACGUGGUGACCUUUCCUAGGCCUGAAUCUGCUUGCCUUUGGGGCUCAAAGACAGACAGAGACAGGUGCACCAACCCAACAGCACGUCAGUGAACAGCACUAAUCUCCCAAACUGAACUUUUAAAGGGCAUGUAGUGGCUGGAAUGAACAAAACUGGUCAUCAAUUACUUUCUUAAAAGAUGAACUUUCACAUACUCAAGUGAGCAUGUGCAGUCUGUCGUUCGGCAACGAAGUCUCUAGUCUAACCUCGGGUCCUCAGGCCCAGGUGGCAGGCAGAGGGGCUUACCUGGGCUCAGGGCCAUCUGAGCCCCGAUCAACGCACGGCUCUCGGGACGCCCAGGGAAGGUGCCCCGAGCAGGGCGUGCCCUGGGAGCCGCUGCCACCUCCUACCUGCCAGACUUGGUGAGCACGAUUAUGGCCCCGCUGCAACACUUGAAGGAGGCCUCCACGGCGCCCACGGCGGCGGCUUCUGUGGGGUCGCUGGUAAUGGGCGCCAGGCGGCGGAGUUCCUCAAAUAAUUGCAAGUGGUAGAUGGCGGCCUCUGCCUCACGGGCAAUCUAGGGGAGCAACAUCCGUCCAGAGGGACAGGAGGGGGACAGGACUGUCAGAGCGGUGUCGCACGGGAGACGGAGGGGAAGAGGCUCACAGACAGCUGGUGAGGGACGUGUCCCCGGACAGGAGGCCAAGAGGCGGCGGACAACUGGAGCCGCGGACCCGCGCAAGACCAAGGUUCAUGGGAACUGGCCCAUCACCAGGUGCCUGUGGCAGCCACUGUGCCUACCGAGCCGGAGGCCCUUGCGGUCCUGCCCUGCCCUGACUCCCUGGCUGGCUUCCUGCAGACGAGGAGAGGACUGGAGCCGGGCCCCAGCUGCAGGGCUGCGCCCCAGCCGUCUUCUAGAUCAGCUGGAGCAAGAGGCUGGUUAUCCUACGGAGUUACCUGCCCUUGGGGCCCUACCUGCCAGACUCCGUCAGAACUAUCAAAGCUGCUGCUAAACACUUAUAAGAAGCCUCCACGCUGCCCAUGGCCAUGGCUUCCAUGAGGUCUGUGGAGUGGCUUGAGCCUCGCACAAGUUCUUCAAACAGCUUGCGGUGGAACAUGGCUGCCUCAGCCUCACGAGCUAUCUGUAAGGUUUGGAGGGGGGAGGAGAAGCAAGAAGAGGGAAGGAGGAGGGAGAAAAACGAGAGACAACACAUGGAAAGACAGAAUGGGGAAUUAAUCAGAGGAAGGUAACCUUAGGUUAAUUGGCUAAAUCUGUCCUUCAUGCAGAUGCGAAGAGGCAGCAUGAUGAAAGCCCAACUGCUCAGGGAUGGCUGGAGAAUUUCCAGCAUCAACUGCUGCUGUUUCCUCUCCAAAAGAGGAAAAAUGGGGUUUUCCAUUCUGGAAGGAUUUUCUGAUUGGGGGUGGGGGGGUAGAGGGAGACAAGAUGGCGGCAGGCACCGGCGCCUUGGCAUAGGAACAUGCCCAGGCUGGGCCCACGCCGCUCCCUGGCAGGACCUGACCAUGCUGCCUCAAGACACAGCUUACAGGAAGGAACAGGCCCUCCCUCCUCACAUGGCUGUCUGGUUACCACGGGGCGUCUUGCCUGGCUUCCAUGCACACAUGGAGCACUUGCUUGGCCUCCGCAUGCGGCUGCUAGGAGCCUUUCCGAUGGCCUGCCAUGGAAACGCGCGGAGCAGCGCUGGAAAGCUGGGGUCAGAUGAAGCCAAAGCCACACAGCUUAACCGAGGUCCAAGCACAAAGGUGGGGAGAUGGCAAACUUGCGAGGGGCACACUCAACAGCCAUGUGAAGGGACAGAAGCCUGUGGAAGCACACGGGUGAGUUUAACAGAGACGCUUGAUUACAACAUUAAGGAUUAUCACAGUCAUGAGAAAGCCGUUCCGUUAUAGUCACAGACUACCUGCUCGGAUAACAUCAGGAAGUAGAAAGAAAAUUUAAGCUUCGGAAGAUUGGAAUCUUAGAGAAUGACGGGUGCGAGAAAAAUCAGAACGUUCCAUUAAUUUGACGGUAAAGGCAGGUACAGGAUUCACUAGGUUAAAGGUUUUCUUUCUUCUCUAAGAACGGAGUGCAUGCAACCCAAAGGACAGGAGACCGAGCAGGAAACGGGACGUACCUGAGACGGCCUAGCCCUGAGUUAUGGGUGGUUAAUUGCCUCAUUUACACAACACACGAGAGAAAGCAGUGAACGGUUAAGAGAAGCUCGGCGUUAACUGGGACUUGAGGAGAGGCCACCUCACCUACACCUCAUCACUUAUCUUCUGAGCAGUGCCAUCCAAGCCCUGGGGUUCUCUCUAAGGUGUGUCUGUCUGUCCAGAGGAGAAACUGGUUAUGGAAAAAUAGCUGGAAUUCAGAGGCCAGAGGGAGAGUCUUAAUCUCUGAGCCCAGUACAGGCCCCUGAUGGAGACGUGGCCUUAUCGCCUGCUAGACAGAACACUACAUACAGGACAACACUGGCCCUGCAGCCAGCAGUUCUGGGUUCAAACUAAGGCUUUAUCAUCACGUAAUCCUCAUCCGUAAAUUGGGGUGACAUCUAUCACACAGGGGAUAUACGAAGAUUACAUCAAUCUACACAGGCUAAUAACUGGACACACAAAAAGUGAACGAGGAAAGGAAGAGACUUUGUGUAUGGGGGGUUACAUCUGGGAGAGUUCGGGGGAGGCGGCAUCACGCAAAGGGUCCCUCUGCUGAUGGGAAAAGGAAUAGGUCAAGGAAAAACCACUUCAGGAUCAGAGGCAAGUUUGCAGAGCUCCACACAUGUUAAGUGCUGACACUGGACUACUGUUAAGAAAGUGAAUGUGCAGGCCUCUGCCUCCCAGGCCUCAGAAGCCCUAGUAAGUGAACCCUGGGUGAAGUCUUCCGUGUGUCUAGAGCAGGACCAGACAGGGCCAAGGAACUGAGAAGGAGCCAGGCAGGGGCACAUGGCCAAGCCCAAGAGCGUCAGAGCUAGCUAGCUGCCGGGGUGGGAAAAAGCUGCCUCCAGGACUCUUCCGGAGGCUCUCCCUCCACGCCCCAGCAGGUUCAGUCGCCUUCCACCUGCCUCUACUUGUGGACUUGCUGCCAGUCACUAAACCCCACCGUUCAGCAGCUCAGCGAAGCAGGCCCCGCUGCAGGCGCCAUGCAAGGCCAGCUCGGUCCCCUCACACACACGACAGCCUCCAGUGCAGGCCCGGGGCCCCUGGGGGCGGGGUGAGACACCUGAUGUGGCCAGGUGGGGAUGCAAAUGGAAGCCAGACAGGCUGGCAGGGAGCAGGAGCCCACGGCCUCUUCUGGGUCCUCUGGGCUGUCCAGAGGAAGAGGGACAAGUACCUCAGUACUUGAAUCAUGGGACAGAUUCACAACCUCGAGGCCAGAAGUGAACCGUGUAGGCUGAUGAAGGAGGAUGCCUCCAGGACAGGAGGAGACAGGAGAUGGAGCGUGGACAGUGAAGACAGAAGAGAACGAAAACCAAGACACCCCCUCCUCCCCAGCACACACCUCCGCAGUCUUGCUGUGACUUAUUAGAGGAUCAUAAAAGGCUGUGGGCACAGAAGCCUGAAAGGUGUUGCCUCGUACCAGAGCCUGCUUCCACCCAGCCCGAGCCUACAGACAUCGGCGGGGAGGCCCGAGGAACUCACCAGGUGCUGCAUGCGAACAGCCUCCAGGGGGUAAUCCCCUUUGGCGGUCUCUCCAGACAGCAUGAUGCAGUCAGCUCCAUCCAGCACUGCAUUGGCCACAUCACUGCCCUCAGCCCGGGUGGGACGAGGCUUCUUGAUCAUGCUCUCCAGCAUCUGCGCGGGGACAGAGCAUUAGUGAGAUGUGGCCUGGGCGGUCUCCAGAAAAGAAGGACUACAGGCUGAUUCCCUGGAUCCUGUGUUCGUGCACAGAGUAAGGCUUUGUGUGCAUGCACGAGGGGAAGGGAGGGUGCACGUGUGUUUGAGAGGCGUGGGGCAGGGUCCUGGGAAGAGACCAAGCAGCACCCGCCUGUGAGUGUGUGUGUGGGGAGAGGCACAUGCCUGUGUCGCACAGAUGACAGGCUUGCCCGCUCGGUUGCACCGCCCAAUCAUCAUCUUCUGAGCAAGGAAGACCUUCUCUGCAGGAAUCUCAAUGCCUAGAUCACCUCGAGCCACCAUGAUGCCAUCGCUGGCUUCCAGGAUCUCAUCAAACCUGACAAAGAGGGCAGGGAGAGAGAGGUUCUAUGGAACAAGGCCGCAAGUGCAGUGACGCACAGAGGUUCUCCUGGACUCUGACUCAGCAGCCCUUCACCAGGACAGCCGUCCAGGACCUCGCCGUGGGCACAAAGGGGAUGGGGUGUUCCAGCUACCUGGUCUCCCAAGGUGGGCUAACAGUACUGCUUGCUGGGCUGCUUUAGCACUCGUAUGGAGGUUCCACGAAGGGGUAAGGGAAAAGACAAGGUUUCCUCCGAAGCCCCCUGGGUUUGUUUCCUCUCCCCCUGCAGGUCAUGAGGCCCCGCCUAAGGCACCUCUCUACCACCCCCACUGCCGCCAGCACUUCCAAGGUUAGCUGACUGCUCCUGACACAAAGGUCUGUGGCCUUCCAGCCAAGGACACCUGAGGGCUGUUCCUUGAGGGGGGCCCCUCCAACCUGCUGAAGGCAUGAGGACAUGUGGCUUUGCCUGGCCUAUGGCCAAGGACAGCUAGCACCCAUGGUUUAUCAGGACAGCAGAAGGUAGACUCCAUAUUGCCUGGUACAAAGGCCACCCGCACAAAGCUAAGGAUGGCAAGAUCAAACAGCAGGUAGGGCUGCCCCUCUGCCCUCUCCAAGCACAGGCCUAAUCCACCCAAGUAGGUCUGGGGUUUUAGUUCUGGUGACUUAUGUUCCUAGCAGGGAGCUGCAGAGGAACAGAUGUCACCAAGCUGGCCAUACUCUUUUAGCUCUACUUGGGGAUACUGGGGAGGAGGUGAAGUACAGCUAGGACCACAUGCUUUCCUCCAGGAAGCUGGGAACAUGCCAGAACCGGCCCAGUCAGCAGGCCAACUGCCUUUUAAGUGAAGACAAGGACACCAUGAGCUUCCACCUAUCUCCCAAGUGAGGGGCCAAACAAGAGCACCUUCCUAACAGCCUGCCAUCUUCUUCCUUCCACUGGGAAAAAUGGGGUGGAGGUGUAGGAUGGGGGGAAACGUCCUCUUAUUCCAGCAAACACAGGUAGCGCUCAUCAGGAGGACAGCAUGAGGGCCCCUGUGAGCAGUGACCCUCCCCAUCCACUCCCAACACUGGGCCUGGGCCUACAGAACAAUGUCAGUCACUUCUGGGGUGCAUCGCCAUGCCAAUCACCUGGGAAGAUAUAUAUGAUAUAUGUAUUUUCUUAAAAAUACCCAUUCCUUGGGGCCCCUGGCUGGCCCACUUGAAAGAACAUGUGACUCUUCAUCUCAGGAUUGUGGGUUCAAGCCCCACAUCGGGUAUAGAGAUUACUUAAAUAAAAUUCAACAAAAAACUAAGUAAAUAGGGGCACCUGCGUGGCUCAGUGGUUGAGCAUCUGCCUUUGACUCAGGGCAAGAUCCUGGAAUCCCGGGAUCAAGUCCCACAUUGGGCUCCCUGCAUGGAGCCUGCUUCUCCUUCUGCCUGUGUCUCUCAUGAAUAAAUACAUCAAAUUAAAAAAAAAAAAAAAAAAACCUUAUGUAAAUAAUUAAAAAUGCCAAUGCCUUCUCCUCCCCAGUGGGUCUAGCCUAAGCUUGGGAGUUUGCACUCUGAUGGGUAGGUCGCCAGGUUUGGGACCUGGGUAUCCACGGGAUACAGUCUGCUUUCUGGAAUGCCGGGCUGGGGCUGAGGGGCAGGGGGCGGUCAGGACACCCACCUCCGAACUCCCUCAUGAUUCUCAAUUUUGCUGAUUAUCUUGAUGUUCUUCCCUUUCUCUCCCAGGACCUUCCUGACCUCAUGGACAUCAGCCGCCUUGCGGAUGAAAGACGCAAACACCAUAUCUACGUCCUGCUCCACCCCGAAUUUCAGAUCCUGGAUGUCCUUCUCUGACACAGCAGGCAGGUCCACAGCAGCCCCGGGGAGGUUCACACCCUUCUUGCUCCCCAAGGAGCCACCGUUCUCCACCUCCGUCACCAGGAAGUCAGCACCUGUGCGAAAUGGGGAUGGAGGGAUGGAAGCACAAUGUCCAACAGGAAGCAGGCUCUCCCCAGCAGGGUGAACUGGAAAGCAGCACAUUGUGGGUGCUGGAGCCACUAUGUCCAGAACUCAGAUCCUAACUCACUAAUCGUAAAGUCUGGGAAAGGUCAACUAACCUCUCUGUGCCUGUUUCCCCACCUGUCAGAGAUCAUAAUACCCACUCAUAAGGUUGUUAUAAAACGUGAACAAAUUACCAUGUAAAAUACUUGGGAUAGUGCCUGACACGUAUCACACUGAGCAAUGGAAGGAAGAAAACCACAAAGACACAAACAGGAUGGGGAAAAAGAAAUCUUCUCCUAUGCUCCCCAAGAAGGUGAUUAAGUUGAGCCAAAGUCUGUUGUAAAGGACAAGGAAUUACAGAAAGAAAUCCUGAGAAAAACCAGCCUUAACCUUGCUGUCAGCCAAACUUCCCACUUUCCUUGGGUCAAAGGAAAUUUAGGGCUGGUUCUAGACACCGAGACAUUGCCUCCAGUACAUACCUUUCUGCUUCACCUGCAGAGAAAUAAGCCCAUCGUCCACGUAGAUCUUGCUGCCCACUUCCACCACCUUGCAGAUGUUCUUGUAGUCCAGCCACAGGAUGUUCUCGUCACAUUUUUCCAUGUAGGCAUUGUCCAGGGUGAUCUUGAGAGUGGCUCCUUUCUUCAGCUCUACCUCUGCAGUCCCGCUCUACAGACAAGAGAAUAAGCCACGAGUCCAAACCACAGGAGCCGGGCCCGCUCCGAAGGAAAAGAAAAGCUCUUUCCUCCAGGGAACAUGCUCCAAUCCCAGCCAUGAGGAACAAUAAAGCUUCUGGCUUUGGAAAUAAACAAUCUUUUCUCAAGGAAGUGACCCAAGAAAGACUUACAACGUCCUACAACAUCAUCGUCUCGCUAUGUAACGAUAGAGGAAAAGCGACGGACAGACUUAGAAGGAGGUUCUCAGAGUAAAGUAAAAAAAAGAUUCUUCUUUGUACCAUUUUUUAGCAAAGUACACCAAAUCAACUUUUUUAGCCAUGAUGAAUAGAAUUUCCAGAUCUGCACUGUGAGGAACACGGCCUCCAACCGGGACACACGCCACCGAGGACGGCUCUCUAGGGCCCACUGCCUCCUGCACCUUCCCUCCCACUGGCCCCCGAUACUCACGCCUUUGAUGAGGCCAGUUCGGAUCUCAGGGCCUUUGGUGUCCAGGGCCACAGCCACUGGCCGGUAGAGGAUGGGGUCAGAAGCGAAGCUUUCUGUGGCUGCACGCACGUUCUUGAUGGUCUCUGCGUGGUACUGGGGGAAGGAAGAGGACAGCUGUGCUCCCACCCAAGAUCUGGAGCCGCGGCUGAAGCAGAUCACUCCGCAAAGGCCUGUGAUGUUCCAGACCUCUACCCUCCUGUGUCUGGCGUCAGGGUCAUCCACUCACUGAGCACCCCCCACUUGCUCAUUUCAAUCGCCUCGUUGCCACCCACUCCUUCCGUGGCACUCAUUCACUCGCUCACUCAAGGCCAAAUCUUAGAAACCCGAGAAUACGGCCACCAAAGCCUACUACAGGGAUGAUGUAAACACGUGUCAGCAUGAAAGAAGUCUGUCUCCCUUACGCUCAUGCUCCCUUGGCAAAUAAAGCAGACCGCGGGAGAAAAAGACCUUGCACUAACGUGUGUGUGGGUGAUACUGGCCGGGCAAUCAGUGUCAGAGUCCGGUGGGAGAGUUGGCAGUUCUGAGCUUUUCCCCUAUUGAUUCCAACUACAAUUCAAACUCCAGAGUUAUUUACUUAAGCUUACAAUAGCUCAAGCUAAAUAAGCCAUCGCCUAGGGGCCCGCAGACCUGGUUUUCGCAAUCACUUUCUGGAGUGGUCUAGGGAACAGGAAAAUGCGCCUCUCUCUGAACCACGUGCCCUGGCUUCCAGCCUUUUCCCCAGCCUUUUCCCUUUCCACUCGCCACGACUGACGACUAAAAAAGGGACUCAAAGCCAAGACGUCACCAAGUUCUUAGUGUAGCCACCAGGACGUUGCUGGUAACAGGGGCACCCAGUUCAGCACUUGACAGGCCUUGUCUGUCCUUCAGCCUGCCCGGGAGAGCAGCACCCAUAAGGCAGCUGAGGGGGGAGCUGGAACCAGAGUCUCAUCUCCAAGGACGGUGCUGCCUGAAGCUGUGUCUGAGAAUCUUCAGCUUCUAUUAUAGUCUCUGAUGAGGACCAUGGCUUGUUCUCUGGGGGCAGAUGUCCGUACUAGGAGUUAUGAAAAUAUGUCUUUCUAUUGCUAGCUUGUGAAACAGAAUAAAAAUAUUCUGUAUAGAACAGAA
Molecule: long non-coding RNA, 10523 nt
Organism: Canis lupus familiaris (dog)
Lineage: Eukaryota; Metazoa; Chordata; Mammalia; Carnivora; Canidae
Exons: 2
Source: RefSeq, a predicted model, not a curated record